Long non-coding RNA from Cynoglossus semilaevis (tongue sole), 630 nucleotides. RefSeq lists it as uncharacterized. Lineage: Eukaryota; Metazoa; Chordata; Actinopteri; Pleuronectiformes; Cynoglossidae. The record is from RefSeq and is a predicted model, not a curated record. The transcript has 2 exons.
UUUAUUUGCUUUUUUUUGUUUGUUUUGUCUUCUUCUGUUUCGAUGACUCGAUGCCACGUGACGCCACAGCACCUGCAGUACAACAGCUGCUCCGUCAAAGAGUGGGAAAAAGACGAGUUCUUUCAGGUCAGGACUGUUCAAGUGCCGCGGAGCCAGAAGGAGAAGCAGGCUUUAAUUAAAAAUACAACAGGAAGAAAAAAGAUUUCAGUCCAGAAGUGUUGACUGUUCUCAUAUGUCACCCAGACUGGAGCAGGUCAACACUGAAAAAGAAGAAAGUUUCUCUAAUUGCCCAUUUCUGGUUGUCACAACAAUUCACUCAGUCACCAUAAAACCAGACUCCACUUCCCUCUGCCUGUGACGGAGCUCGGAUGAUUGACGGCUUCUGACAGAUGUGUGGGAUGUUGUGUUCGCCCAAGAAUUCCACUUACCUUUUCUCCCCGUUGCCCACCCUGCUGAGACGAGGAUGAGACAAGGAUAUGAGAAUUUCCCGCUUUGUUACAAAUGAAACAACAAGAACUACAGUUGUGUUGAAUGAGAAGCUGCUAUGAUCGUGUUAUUGUUAUGUAUUCUUUAGCAGUUAAAGAUUCACUUCCUGGUCUGUUAGCUUAGCAGCCGUAGCAUUGGCUUAGU